UACGUAGGGGGCUAGCGUUGUCCGGAAUCAUUGGGCGUAAAGCGCGUGUAGGCGGUUCGGUAAGUCCGCUGUGAAAGUCGGGGGCUCAACCCUCGAAAGCCGGUGGAUACUGUCGGACUAGAGUGCAGAAGAGGCGAGUGGAAUUCCUGGUGUAGCGGUGAAAUGCGCAGAUAUCAGGAGGAACACCAAUUGCGAAGGCAAUCUUCUGGACGAAAACUGACGCUGAGACACGAAAGCCAAGGUAGCAAACAGG
Molecule: ribosomal RNA, 253 nt
Filed under: uncultured bacterium
Lineage: Bacteria
Description: partial 16S ribosomal RNA
Rfam family: Bacterial small subunit ribosomal RNA
Source: RNAcentral